This 656-nucleotide ribosomal RNA is filed under the name uncultured bacterium. RNAcentral's name for it is "partial 16S ribosomal RNA". It matches the Rfam family "Bacterial small subunit ribosomal RNA", at positions 233 to 884 of the family's 1533-position model. The record is from RNAcentral.
GCGGCCUAUCAGCUUGUUGGUGAGGUAAUGGCCCACCAAGGCAAUGACGGGUAGGCGGAGUUAGCGCUUGAUUGCCAACAAGGGCACUGAGACACGGGCCCUACCUCUACGGAGGGCAGCAGUCGAGAAUCAUAGACAAUGGGGGAAACCCUGAUCUUGUGACGUCGCGUGUCUGAUGAAGCCCUACGGGGUGUAAAGGACUUUUCUGGAGGACGAAGCCUAGUGUGCAAGCGCUGGGUUGACGGUACUCCAGGAACAAGGGGGUGCUAAUUUUGUGCCAGCAGCAGCGGUAAUACAAAGUCCCCAAGCAUUAUCCGGAGUCACUGGGCGUAAAGGGUUCGCAGGCGGUCUGAAAGGUUUUCUGUUAAAUUUCCAGGGCUCAACCUUGGAAGUGCAGAAAAAACCGGUAGACUAGAGGGCGCUAGAGGCUAGUAGAACGGCUGGUGUAGGGGUGGAAUCCGUUGAUAUCAGCCGGAAUCCCAAAAGCGAAGGCAACUAGCUAGGGCGACCCAGACGCUGAGGAACGAAGGCAUGGGUAGCGAAGAGGAUUAGAUACCCUCGUAGUCCAUGCUGUAAAUGUUGGACACUAGCUUCUUGAAGUGUCGACCCUUCAAGUGGCGAAGCUAACGCGUUAAGUGUCCCGCCUGGGGAGUACG